UCCGGUUUAUCACCGGCAGUCUCAUUAAAGUGCCCAACUGAAUGAUGGCAAUUAAUGACAAGGGUUGCGCUCGUUGCGGGACUUAACCCAACAUCUCACGACACGAGCUGACGACAGCCAUGCAGCACCUGUGUUCAGGUUCCCUUUCGGGCACAAUCUCAUCUCUGAAAUCUUCCUGACAUGUCAAGGGUAGGUAAGGUUUUUCGCGUUGCAUCGAAUUAAUCCACAUAAUCCACCGCUUGUGCGGGUCCCCGUCAAUUCCUUUGAGUUUUAAUCUUGCGACCGUACUCCCCAGGCGGUCAACUUAUCGCGUUAGCUGCGGUACUAAAGAAGUCUCCUUCCCCAACACCUAGUUGACAUCGUUUAGGGCGUGGACUAC
Molecule: unclassified non-coding RNA, 379 nt
Filed under: uncultured Gammaproteobacteria bacterium
Lineage: Bacteria; Pseudomonadati; Pseudomonadota; Gammaproteobacteria
Description: contains 16S-23S intergenic spacer region
Source: RNAcentral